This 253-nucleotide ribosomal RNA is filed under the name uncultured prokaryote. RNAcentral describes it as "partial 16S ribosomal RNA". It matches the Rfam family "Bacterial small subunit ribosomal RNA", at positions 525 to 777 of the family's 1533-position model. The record is from RNAcentral.
ACGAAGGGUGCAAGCGUUACUCGGAAUUACUGGGCGUAAAGCGUGCGUAGGUGGUUCGUUAAGUCUGAUGUGAAAGCCCUGGGCUCAACCUGGGAAUGGCAUUGGAAACUGGCGACCUAGAGCGCGGUAGAGGGGGGUGGAAUUCCCGGUGUAGCGGUGAAAUGCGUAGAUAUCGGGAGGGACACCUGUGGCGAAGGCGGCCCCCUGGUCGGAUACUGACGCUGAGACGCGAAAGCGUGGGGAGCAAACAGGA